RNAcentral lists this ribosomal RNA (253 nucleotides) under uncultured bacterium. Its description in RNAcentral is "partial 16S ribosomal RNA". It matches the Rfam family "Bacterial small subunit ribosomal RNA", at positions 524 to 776 of the family's 1533-position model. The record is from RNAcentral.
UACGAAGGGGGCUAGCGUUGCUCGGAAUUACUGGGCGUAAAGCGCACGUAGGCGGCUUUCUAAGUCGGGGGUGAAAGCCCAGAGCUCAACUCUGGAACUGCCUUCGAAACUAGAGGACUUGGGUACGGGAGAGGUGAGUGGAAUUCCGAGUGUAGAGGUGAAAUUCGUAGAUAUUCGGAAGAACACCAGUGGCGAAGGCGGCUCACUGGCCCGUUACCGACGCUCAGGCGCGACAGCGUGGGGAGCAAACAGG